Non-coding RNA from Phrynosoma platyrhinos (Desert horned lizard), 71 nucleotides. The record is from the annotation of a GenBank genome assembly. Lineage: Eukaryota; Metazoa; Chordata; Lepidosauria; Squamata; Phrynosomatidae.
GUCAAUGUGAUAUAGUGGUUUGAGUGCUGGACUAAGACUCCAGGGUGAGGGUUUGAAUCCCUACUUAGUCA